RNAcentral lists this ribosomal RNA (492 nucleotides) under uncultured bacterium. RNAcentral describes it as "partial 16S ribosomal RNA". It matches the Rfam family "Bacterial small subunit ribosomal RNA", at positions 29 to 507 of the family's 1533-position model. The record is from RNAcentral.
AGUGAACGCUGGCGGUAGGCCUAACACAUGCAAGUCGAACGGCAGCACAGUAAGAGCUUGCUCUUACGGGUGGCGAGUGGCGGACGGGUGAGGAAUACAUCGGAAUCUACUUUUUCGUGGGGGAUAACGUAGGGAAACUUACGCUAAUACCGCAUACAACCUACGGGUGAAAGCAGGGGAUCUUCGGACCUUGCGCGAUUGAAUGAGCCGAUGUCGGAUUAGCUAGUUGGCGGGGUAAAGGCCCACCAAGGCGACGAUCCGUAGCUGGUCUGAGAGGAUGAUAAGCCACACUGGAACUGAGACGCGGUCAAGACUCCUACGGGAGGCAGCAGUGGGGAAUAUUGGACAAUGGGCGCAAGCCUGAUCCAGCCAUACCGCGUGGGUGAAGAAGGCCUUCGGGUUGUAAAGCCCUUUUGUUGGGAAAGAAAAGCAGCAGGUUAAUACCCCGCUGUUCUGACGGUACCCAAAGAAUAAGCACCGGCUAACUUCGUG